CAGUAGCCACGGUAAUACAGAGGGUGCAAGCGUUAAUCGGAAUUACUGGGCGUAAAGCGCGCGUAGGUGGUUUGUUAAGUUGAAUGUGAAAUCCCCGGGCUCAACCUGGGAACUGCAUCCAAAACUGGCAAGCUAGAGUAGGGCAGAGGGUGGUGGAAUUUCCUGUGUAGCGGUGAAAUGCGUAGAUAUAGGAAGGAACACCAGUGGCGAAGGCGACCACCUGGGCUCAUACUGACACUGAGGUGCGAAAGCGUGGGGAGCAAACAGGAUUAGAUACCCGAGUAGUCCCUGUCUCUUAUAC
Molecule: ribosomal RNA, 301 nt
Filed under: uncultured bacterium
Lineage: Bacteria
Description: partial 16S ribosomal RNA
Rfam family: Bacterial small subunit ribosomal RNA
Source: RNAcentral